RNAcentral lists this ribosomal RNA (234 nucleotides) under uncultured bacterium. RNAcentral's name for it is "partial 16S ribosomal RNA". It matches the Rfam family "Bacterial small subunit ribosomal RNA", at positions 543 to 776 of the family's 1533-position model. The record is from RNAcentral.
GCUCGGAAUCACUGGGCGUAAAGCGCACGCAGGCGGAUUGUUAAGUCAGGGGUGAAAUCCUGGAGCUCAACUCCAGAACUGCCUUUGAUACUGGCGAUCUCGAGUCCGGGAGAGGUGAGUGGAACUGCGAGUGUAGAGGUGAAAUUCGUAGAUAUUCGCAAGAACACCAGUGGCGAAGGCGGCUCACUGGCCCGGUACUGACGCUGAGGUGCGAAAGCGUGGGGAGCAAACGGG